AUCCACCUGUUCCCAUGCCGAACACAGUAGUUAAGCCUUCAUACGCCGAAAGUACUCGACUGGAAACGGUCCGGGAGGAUAGGAAGCUGCCGGUU
RNAcentral lists this ribosomal RNA (95 nucleotides) under Acidaminococcus sp. AM05-11. Lineage: Bacteria; Bacillati; Bacillota; Negativicutes; Acidaminococcales; Acidaminococcaceae. The record is from RNAcentral.